Molecule: long non-coding RNA, 809 nt
Organism: Momordica charantia (bitter melon)
Lineage: Eukaryota; Viridiplantae; Streptophyta; Magnoliopsida; Cucurbitales; Cucurbitaceae
Source: RefSeq, a predicted model, not a curated record
CACGAUUAUGUAAUCGAAGCCUUUCUCUCUCGCUCUAUCUCUCUCAUGGCCGCUGCGCGAGAACGAGCUUGCGCGCUUGAUGAACGGGGCAUGAUAAAAACACAGUGAUUCGAAAACAGAGCUGCACUACAAUGGAAGGUAUCAGAGGAACCGACCUUGGCAAGAAGAGAGGCAGAAGAGAACAAGGAAGAGAAAAAGCUUCACUGUCCCAACCAACGCCAUUGAUCAUCAGUUGCAGAAAAGGAAAAAAAGUAUGCAGUCACAGUACCAAAGGAAGCUGCUUCUUCCAAACCUUUGGAGUUUUGGAUGACCGCUUGUGGACCGUUGGAUGAAGUCUUCUGUGAUCUCAUCGGGGCCGUUCAUAAACACAAGGCCAGCUCACUCACCAGUCUUUCAUAUAACUGUAUGGGUACGUAUAUUUAUUGUGUUGGUUUGGUAGCUACCAGUUGAUAUGAUCUAGUUUAAGUAAUUUGGAAGAAACUGAAGGGUGAAAAGGGAAAGAUACUUUAACAUUCUAUAAUCUUCAGAGUUAUAGCCGUGGGGAACAAGGUUUGAGGCAGAAAAGGCUAAGUUGAAGAGAAGAGAUUGGAUUUUAAAGAGUGAAGUGUUGGUUAAUAUCAGUUUAUGGAAACUAACUGCUUUUGUUAUUGAAUUUGUUUAAAGAAAGAAGAGCCUUUCGACAAUAAUAUCAAGAGAUUGAAUAAGACGAAAUCACUCCGGUCCGUUUUGGUAACAAUUUCGUUUUUGGUUUUUUUGUUAAAAAUUCUACUUGUUUGUCUCGUAGUGUUUUUCACCUUUAAAAAAACACA